Molecule: ribosomal RNA, 484 nt
Filed under: uncultured soil bacterium
Lineage: Bacteria
Description: bacterial SSU rRNA
Rfam family: Bacterial small subunit ribosomal RNA
Source: RNAcentral
AGGACGAACGCUGGCGGCGUGCUUAACACAUGCAAGUCGAACGAGGUCCAACCGGUCGCAAGACCGGUGAAGACCGAGUGGCGAACGGGUGCGUAACACGUGAGAAACCUGUCCCGGUCUCUGGAAUAACAGUCGGAAACGACUGCUAAUACCGGAUGCCGUCGGAGCGUCGCAUGGCGCGCUGACGAAAGGGCUACCGGAUCGGGAGGGUCUCGCGGCCUAUCAGCUUGUUGGUGAGGUAACGGCUCACCAAGGCAUCGACGGGUAGCUGGUCUGAGAGGAUGAUCAGCCACACUGGGACUGAGACACGGCCCAGACUCCUACGGGAGGCAGCAGUGGGGAAUCUUGCACAAAUGGGCGAAAGCCUGAUGCAGCAACGCCGCGUGCGGAUGAAGGCCCUAGGUUGUAAACCGCUUUCAGCAGGAAGAAAAUGACGGUACCUGUAGAAGAAGGUGCGGCCAACUACGUGCCACAGCCGCGGUAA